This 255-nucleotide ribosomal RNA is filed under the name Ammonifex thiophilus. Its description in RNAcentral is "partial 23S ribosomal RNA". It matches the Rfam family "Bacterial large subunit ribosomal RNA", at positions 2049 to 2302 of the family's 2925-position model. Lineage: Bacteria; Bacillati; Bacillota; Clostridia; Thermoanaerobacterales; Thermoanaerobacteraceae. The record is from RNAcentral.
GCCAGUGAAGACGCUGGCUACCUGCGGUGGGACAGAAAGACCCCGUGGAGCUUUACUGCAGCCUGGCAUUGGACUCUGGUGUUCUAUGUACAGGAUAGGUGGGAGGCUGAGAAGCCUGGGCGCCAGCUUGGGUGGAGCCGCCGGUGGGAUACCACCCUUAGGACAUUGGGGUUCUAACCUUGGGCCGUUGAGCCGGUCUGGGGACAGUGUCAGGUGGGCAGUUUGACUGGGGCGGUCGCCUCCUAAAAGGUAACG